GCCAUUUAAUGUGAUAUCCAGUGAUCCGACAGAGAUGUUAGAAUUCACAUAAAUGCAGUUUUUUUAUUGAUAAACAGCAGCAACCUCUGCACAAGAAUGAUUAUUCUGCAGCAAUAACCCUUGCUUUCCGUGGUUGUUUUUUUAUUUGCACAGGUCAUCAACUGUUUGACUUGCUGUCAUUUUAGGAAUGGAUCAUUUCCGUGCUGUUGUUUCUUCCUCUGCAGGAGUCAACACCUUCAAAGGGGUAAUGGAGAAAAUUGCCUGGAAUAUAAGCAAGAAGGUACCGCUCCAAGGUUUGCCCCUUGUAGUUUGCUGUUCUCCAAUGAUUGAAGAGGAUGCUGCAUGUCCUGCUGAACGUGUCUAGCAUUUUAAAAAAAUGUACAAUAGAAGGUGAUAAAUAACUUGGAAAAGACGGCAGUGGCAGAGUGUUAUUUGUUCAAUGAGAUAUCACUCCAUUGUGUUUCUGGCAUACAAGUGAUUCAGGUCACCUCCAGACACUCCCACUAAAGAAGAGGAAAAGUUGCAAGGGGACAUUCUUAGCCCCUCUCAUUAUUCUUUCCAUAACAACUGAAUGAGCAGCAAGCAGCCAUCUUUAUUCUUAUUGCAGUGGAUGAGAAACAUGUGGCAGAGGUUUGGAUAUGAAAGAAAUAAUUUUCAGCUUCAUGAUCCAUGAGAGGAAACUGUCUUGUCUCUCAUAUAUCCAGUUUGGUUCAAUAUACCUCUCUAAAAAUCUAUGAAUCUCACAUUUGCAAUUGGCCAUAUCAUAAAAGCUUUAAGGGAGGAAGGUUCCACGUUUCCACUAGACUUUGUGUGAAGAAGUACUCCUUCACCCCAAGUCAACUAGCCCUAUAUUGUAUUACGUCCCACCGAGAGAAAUAAUUUCUCUCUAUUUAACAUAUCCUUCAAUCAUCCUGAAUUGUUUUCAUUAUGACAUAAAUGUUGCUGUUUGGAACUUGACACAUGGAUGCUACCUUUCCCUCAGCACUAAUUUGAUUUUUUGUGUAAACAAGAGGUUAAAUUUGGAGGACAAACCUGUAACUGUGCAGGUCUAAAAUUGCCUCCCAGUGGAAGUGGCGGAAUAUCAAAUCACUACUCAUGAUCCAACCACGCAUCCAUUUACGAUAGAGCUUCACAUUCAGAGAACAAAAUAAAUUAACAUGUCAAACAAUAAAAGAGAAAGCACUUGCAUUUAUAUUAUGGCUUAUCAGGUCCAUGAGCCUUUUGUAAUAAACAAAUUAAUUUUGAAGUGCGAUCAUUGCUAUGCAGGUACAAUGAUAAAACUCAUGAUUCAAGCUGUACAAAUAGGUUUGCAAUACAUGCAUGUAUGUACACAUAUAUUACUCUUGAUUAUGAAAUGAAAACUAACACUUCCCUCACGUGCACACUUUUCAUAAUGUUGCA
Molecule: long non-coding RNA, 1401 nt
Organism: Pristis pectinata (smalltooth sawfish)
Lineage: Eukaryota; Metazoa; Chordata; Chondrichthyes; Rhinopristiformes; Pristidae
Exons: 4
Source: RefSeq, a predicted model, not a curated record